UGGUUAUUAAAUUGUGUGAAAUGCCUAUCUCUCCUCCCUCCCUCUGUAAACAGCUGCCUCAUUCACCUCCAGUCACAACACCAUGGGACAUACUGGGUUCCAGAGCAUCCUGCAAGGCGAGGUGCAACCUCCUGAGAAGCAGGUGGCUCUUGGGUUUGGUGGUUUCUCCCUGGAGUGGCAGGAGCACCAGCUGUGCUGAGCUGCUCUGAGCUCCAUCUGUCUCCAGCCGGCCUUUGGCAGUAAUCACAGGCUUUGGGACAUUCUGCUCUACCUGGACUCAGUUGUGGAACCUUCCCCUGGCCUAAGAUUUGCAUUCUUAGGGAUCUUCAGACAGGCAGGAAACAGUCGUGCCCACUUCGGAAUUGUUAAGAUCGACCACGUGGAUUUUGUGAGUGACACACGGCGCCUGUCCAGUACUCCCACAGCUGGUAGCUACCCGGCGGGGAUACAGACCUGCUACAAAUGAGACACACAGCACACCAGGCACUGGGCACAAUCAUCCCCGGGCUCCACUCUCGGAGACAGAGGAAGGAUGGAGACCCGUCAGAUACACAAAGAAGACCAGCCACGUGAGAAGGAAAUAGGAGAACAACUAACUCCGUAGGGAAAAUAAAUAGUUCAGAAAGCAGAAGAUAAUUCCUCAAAAUAUUAACUCGUGUCUUCGGAGAAAUGAAAGUUUUAGAGCCUGUAAUAAAAAAAAAAUAGAUGCUAUGAAAAAGCAAUUACACAGUAAAGACAGAGCUUCGAAGUUAAACAUGAUCGUUUGAAUAAAAAGGUUAAUAGGCUGG
Psammomys obesus (fat sand rat) is the source of this 788-nucleotide long non-coding RNA. RefSeq lists it as uncharacterized. The transcript has 3 exons. The record is from RefSeq and is a predicted model, not a curated record. Lineage: Eukaryota; Metazoa; Chordata; Mammalia; Rodentia; Muridae.